ACCCGGCUGACGAGUCUCAAAUAGGACGAAACGCGAGUCCUGAAU
RNAcentral lists this non-coding RNA (45 nucleotides) under Schistosoma margrebowiei. Lineage: Eukaryota; Metazoa; Platyhelminthes; Trematoda; Strigeidida; Schistosomatidae. The record is from RNAcentral.